UAAACCUCUUUCACCUAUGACGAAGCGCAAGUGACGGUAGUAGGAGAAGAAGCACCGGCCAACUACGUGCCAGCAGCCGCGGUAAUACGUAGGGUGCGAGCGUUGUCCGGAAUUAUUGGGCGUAAAGGGCUCGUAGGCGGUUUGUCGCGUCGGGAGUGAAAACUCGGGGCUUAACUCCGAGCCUGCUUCUGAUACGGGCAGACUAGAGGUAUGCAGGGGAGAACGGAAUUCCUGGUGUAGCGGUGAAAUGCGCAGAUAUCAGGAGGAACACCGGUGGCGAAGGCGGUUCUCUGGGCAUUACCUGACGCUGAGGAGCGAAAGUGUGGGGAGCGAACAGGAUUAGAUACCCUGGUAGUCCACACCGUAAACGUUGGGCGCUAGGUGUGGGACUCAUUCCACGAGUUCCGUGCCGCAGCUAACGCAUUAAGCGCCCCGCCUGGGGAGUACGGCCGCAAGGCUAAAACUCAAAGGAAUUGACGGGGGCCCGCACAAGCGGCGGAGCAUGCGGAUUAAUUCGAUGCAACGCGAAGAACCUUACCUGGGUUUGACAUAUAGAGAAAUCCUCCAGAGAUGGGGGGUCCGUAAGGGCUCUAUACAGGUGGUGCAUGGCUGUCGUCAGC
This 620-nucleotide ribosomal RNA is filed under the name uncultured Nocardioides sp. Its description in RNAcentral is "bacterial SSU rRNA". It matches the Rfam family "Bacterial small subunit ribosomal RNA", at positions 426 to 1059 of the family's 1533-position model. The record is from RNAcentral. Lineage: Bacteria; Bacillati; Actinomycetota; Actinomycetes; Propionibacteriales; Nocardioidaceae.